Long non-coding RNA from Arabidopsis lyrata subsp. lyrata, 356 nucleotides. RefSeq lists it as uncharacterized. Lineage: Eukaryota; Viridiplantae; Streptophyta; Magnoliopsida; Brassicales; Brassicaceae. The transcript is spliced from 2 exons. The record is from RefSeq and is a predicted model, not a curated record.
AAUUUUGUAACAUUAUCCUUCAUCUAAAAAAAUGAAUAUCAAACUUACGAUGUUUUAAAUAACACGCAAUAUAACUCUUAUAAGUAUCUACUAAAUGUUUUCAAGGUCAUAUACAUUAGAUUUUUUAAAUUCUAAAGGUUUCUAGACUUGCGGCAUGGAAAUGGGUUUUUAGAGGAAGAAAUUGAUUAAAAUGCGUAAAGAGAAGAGAUGAUCCAAUAAGGUGGACCUAGGUUUGUGUCCCAAAGCUUAUAUAUUCUAAAACUUUCUGUACCUACAGAGCAUACUUUUUUGUGCGAUUUUUGUAGUUUUAAAGUGUUCAUCUUUUCUUCUUCUUCAAUGUUAUUUAAUUUUUUUAA